This 1536-nucleotide long non-coding RNA is filed under the name Zea mays. Its description in RNAcentral is "long non-coding RNA (ZMAY_LNC000096)". The record is from RNAcentral. Lineage: Eukaryota; Viridiplantae; Streptophyta; Magnoliopsida; Poales; Poaceae.
GGCCUCCCUCCUCUCUCAGCCUAGGUUUUGAGAGUGAGGUGCCCGUCUGAAUAGGCUGCGCACGAGCGCAUGAACGUCCGACGCUGGCGAUGGUGGGCUUUAGGCGGACUGGCCCAGUGGGUGCGUUACAAUUGGUAUCGGAGCCUACAUUGCCGCUGCUGCCUGGGAGAGCUUUGGGCCUCUUAGGGGGGUGGGAUGUAAGGGACCGGUAUGCACGCCCUGGGUUAGUACCACCUCGCCUAGCUAAGGGGGCCGUGUUGCACUUAUAAGGGCGGGCCUCCCUCCUCUCUCAGCCUAGGUUUUGAGAGUGAGGUGCCCGUCUGAAUAGGCUGCGCACGAGCGCAUGAACGUCCGAUGCUGGCGAUGGUGGGCUUUAGGCGGACUGGCCCAGUGGGUGCGUUACAAUUGGUAUCGGAGCCUACAUUGCCGCUGCUGCCUGGGAGAGCUUUGGGCCUCUUAGGGGGGUGGGAUGUAAGGGACCGGUAUGCACGCCCUGGGUUAGUACCACCUCGCCUAGCUAAGGGGGCCGUGUUGCACUUAUAAGGGCGGGCCUCCCUCCUCUCUCAGCCUAGGUUUUGAGAGCGAGGUGCCCGUCUGAAUAGGCUGCGCACGAGCGCAUGAACGUCCGACGCUGGCGAUGGUGGGCUUUAGGCGGACUGGCCCAGUGGGUGCGUUACAAUUGGUAUCGGAGCCUACAUUGCCGCUGCUGCCUGGGAGAGCUUUGGGCCUCUUAGGGGGGUGGGAUGUGAGAGACCGGUAUGCACGCCCUGGGUUAGUACCACCUCGUCUAGCCAAGGGGGCCGUGUUGCACUUAUAAGGGCGGGCCUCCCUCCUCUCUCAGCCUAGGUUUUGAGAGUGAGGUGCCCGUCUGAAUAGGCUGCGCACGAGCGCAUGAACGUCCGACGCUGGCGAUGGUGGGCUUUAGGCGGACUGGCCCAGUGGGUGCGUUACAAGAUGUCAGCGUCCAACCCCCGGCCCAGCCCACACUCGACAGCUUCGGGCGUUCAUGCGCUCGUGGGCCGGCCCAGCCAAGAGAGCCCACCACUCACAUCCCAAAAGCCAGGCUGAUGGGAGGAGGGAGACUCUCCCUUAUAAGCUGCCCACGGCCCCCUUGGCUAGCCGAUGUGGGACUAAAGCCGAGGCGCUGACUACCAGCCCCUGACAUCCCACCCCCCUUGGGAAGCCCCCCAAGUCAGGCAUGGGCCAAACCGGGCUCCGAUACCAGAUGUCAGCGUCCAACCCCCGGCCCAGCCCACACUCGACAGCUUCGGGCGUUCAUGCGCUCGUGGGCCAGCCCAGCCAAGAGAGCCCACCACUCACAUCCCAAAAGCCAGGCUGAUGGGAGGAGGGAGACUCUCCCUUAUAAGCUGCCCACGGCCCCCUUGGCUAGCCGAUGUGGGACUAAAGCCGAGGCGCUGACUACCAGCCCCUGACAUCAAUGUCAGGGACUGCCGGCCCAAAUGGCCCAUGCCGGCCCAGAUAGUUAAAGGAAAUACUACAAAAGCACCGUGGAGGUUACCAGGAAGGGCAUCGAAG